AAACAUAGUAUGUAUAUUACUUUAUUGAAUUUUUAUAAUAACAUUGUAACGCGCCGCAGAUUGUGUUACAGAGGUAGAUAUUCGAGAAUAUGACGAUAACUUAGACAACCGGUGUAUUAACAUGUGAAUGUGGAAGUUGGACGGAGUGAUGUGAAGCGGGCAGUGAUAACAAAUGUCCGCGUUCCAUCUCAUUUACUUCCUGCUGUUCGGUUCCUCCUAUUGAACCAGUAGAACGUGCAAGACUGUUUCGUUGUCUGCACAUGUACGGUGUUUCUCCAGGUGAUGGAGUUUCACGACCCUGGCAGGCAGAGCGGGAAUUUGUAUCUCUCUUCCAAUUAGACUGCAGAAGCGAAGGGAUAGAUUUUAAAUCAAACGAAGGUACAUCGAAAAGCAGAAAGCACAUACCUGUUUAGAAGGACCACAGCAUGUUGCAUGAUUACAAGGCUUGUCAGUCUUUGGACAAUCUAGUACACAAUCUUCGGUCGGUGUUUCCUUGACCUCGCUGUUAGAGUGGUACUAGAAUAUUAAUAAUAGAUCCUCAGUCAAUUAUCUAUUAUAUUUUAUAUCUUUUUAUAGUUUCGU
Molecule: unclassified non-coding RNA, 582 nt
Filed under: Bombus terrestris (buff-tailed bumblebee)
Lineage: Eukaryota; Metazoa; Arthropoda; Insecta; Hymenoptera; Apidae
Description: misc RNA ENSBTSG00005027226.1
Source: RNAcentral